AACGAACGCUGGCGGCAUGCCUAACACAUGCAAGUCGAACGAGACCUUCGGGUCUAGUGGCGCACGGGUGCGUAACGCGUGGGAACCUGCCCUUAGGUUCGGAAUAACUCCCCGAAAGGGGUGCUAAUACCGGAUAAUGUCUUCGGACCAAAGAUUUAUCGCCUUUGGAUGGGCCCGCGUUGGAUUAGCUAGUUGGUAGGGUAAAAGCCUACCAAGGCGACGAUCCAUAGCUGGUCUGAGAGGAUGAUCAGCCACACUGGGACUGAGACACGGCCCAGACUCCUACGGGAGGCAGCAGUGGGGAAUAUUGGACAAUGGGCGAAAGCCUGAUCCAGCAAUGCCGCGCGAGUGAUGAAGGCCUUAGGGUUGUAAAGCUCUUUUACCCGGGAUGAUAAUGACAGUACCGGGAGAAUAAGCUCCGGCUAACUCCAUG
This 433-nucleotide ribosomal RNA is filed under the name uncultured bacterium. RNAcentral describes it as "partial 16S ribosomal RNA". It matches the Rfam family "Bacterial small subunit ribosomal RNA", at positions 29 to 507 of the family's 1533-position model. The record is from RNAcentral.